AUUGAUCGCUAGCGGGAUGCCUUACAUAUGCAAGUCGCACGGAGUGGCGCCCGGUUGAGUCAUGUAUCGGAACGUGCCCAGUAGCGGGGGAUAACUACGCGAAAGCGUAGCUAAUCUCGCCUACUAUUAGCACGGCCGAUAUCGGAUGCGCUAGUUGGUGGGGUAACGGGUCACCAAGGCGACGAUCCGUAGCUGGUUUGAGAUGACGACCAGCCACACUGGGAUGGUGACACGGCCCAGACUCCUACGGGAGGAAGCAGUGGGGAAUGUUGGAAGAGGGGGGAAUGCAUGAUACAGCCAGCGCGCGUGUGUGAUGAAGACCUCUGGGUUGUGAAGCACUAGUGUCAGCAGAGCGCUACCUGCAGAAUAAGCACCGGCAAACUACGGACCAGCAGCCGCGGUAAUAC
This 407-nucleotide ribosomal RNA is filed under the name uncultured bacterium. Its description in RNAcentral is "partial 16S ribosomal RNA". It matches the Rfam family "Bacterial small subunit ribosomal RNA", at positions 30 to 526 of the family's 1533-position model. The record is from RNAcentral.